Molecule: unclassified non-coding RNA, 377 nt
Filed under: plant metagenome
Description: partial contains 5.8S ribosomal RNA, internal transcribed spacer 2, and large subunit ribosomal RNA
Rfam family: 5.8S ribosomal RNA (bases 1-104)
Source: RNAcentral
AAAUGCGAUAAGUAAUGUGAAUUGCAGAAUUCAGUGAAUCAUCGAAUCUUUGAACGCACCUUGGGCUCCUUGGUAUUCCUUGGAGCAUGCCUGUUUGAGUAUCAUGAAAUCUUCAAAGUAAAUCUUUUGUUAACUCAAUUGGUUUCUACUUUGGUAUUGGAGGUCUUUGCAGCUUCACACCUGCUCCUCUUUGUUCAUUAGCUGGAUCUCAGUGUUAUGCUUGGUUCCACUCGGCGUGAUAAGUUAUCUAUCGCUGAGGACACUGUAAAAGGUGGCCAAGGUAAAUGCAGAUGAACCGCUUCUAAUAGUCCAUUGACUUGGACAAUACUUUUAUGAUCUGAUCUCAAAUCAGGUAGGACUACCCGCUGAACUUAAGC